This 489-nucleotide ribosomal RNA is filed under the name uncultured bacterium. Its description in RNAcentral is "partial 16S ribosomal RNA". It matches the Rfam family "Bacterial small subunit ribosomal RNA", at positions 30 to 507 of the family's 1533-position model. The record is from RNAcentral.
AUUGAACGCUGGCGGCAUGCCUAACACAUGCAAGUCGAACGGUAACAGGAAGCAGCUUGCUGAUUUGCUGACGAGUGGCGGACGGGUGAGUAAUGUCUGGGAAACUGCCCGAUGGAGGGGGAUAACUACUGAAAACGGUAGCUAAUACCGCAUAACGUCUCAAGACCAAAGAGGGUGACAUUAGGGCCUCUGUCCAUCGGAGAUGCUCAGAUGGGAUUAGCUAGUAGGUGGGGUAACGGCUCCCCGAGUCGACGAUCCUAGCUGGUCUGCGAGGAUGACCAGCCACACUGGAGCUGAGACACGGUCCAGACUCCUACGGGAGGGAGCAGUGGGGAAUAUUGGACAAUGGGCGCAAGCCUGAUGCAGCCAUGCCGCGUGUAUGAAGAAGGCCUUCGGGUUGUAAAGUACUUUCAGCGGGGAGGAAGGGAGUAAAGUUAAUACCUUUGCUCAUUGACGUUACCCGCAGAAGAAGCACCGGCUAACUCCGUG